UGAAGACGACGACGUUGAUAGGCCGGGUGUGUAAGCGCAGCGAUGCGUUGAGCUAACCGGUACUAAUGACCCGUGAGGCUUAACCUUACAACGCCAGAGGCGUUU
RNAcentral lists this ribosomal RNA (105 nucleotides) under Pantoea sp. Bo_39. RNAcentral describes it as "partial 23S ribosomal RNA". The stretch from base 1 to 87 matches the Rfam family "Bacterial large subunit ribosomal RNA", at positions 2839 to 2925 of the family's 2925-position model. The record is from RNAcentral. RNAcentral also lists the same sequence under 4 other names. Lineage: Bacteria; Pseudomonadati; Pseudomonadota; Gammaproteobacteria; Enterobacterales; Erwiniaceae.